Molecule: long non-coding RNA, 780 nt
Organism: Cyprinus carpio carpio
Lineage: Eukaryota; Metazoa; Chordata; Actinopteri; Cypriniformes; Cyprinidae
Source: Ensembl
AGAUAGGGCAGCAUUUUGGCUCAUUUGGAGUCAGAGUGAUUGUCAGUUUUGAUUGAGUAACUUGCAGAUCUGUGCUGCUCGAGCUGCAAACUGAUUCAGAUGAUUCAGUCCGUUUUGAUGAAGUGGUUCAACUUAUUCACCAAAAAGAAUUGGUUCAAAAGAAUGAUUCGUUUGUGAACCGGACAUCACUCCGGACCGUUUGCCUGAGGCUCUGGAUUACAGUUGACCGAAUGAAAUUGAAAUUCAGUCCAACCCUGUUGCUGACAGAAACCGUACGAGCUUUGAAACGUCUCGCCUGGUGAUAUGCGAACUCCAGAGACAUUUGUACAUCUUGUUUUUGUCCUGUUUAAUUGUAUUUGCUAUCUCAGAUUGGUGCUGUGUCUUUGUUUGGUGCUCAUGAGGGAAAUGCAAAUGUGGAAAGUUCCGGAUCCCAUUUCCCCUGUUAGCUCCGUCUGUCUGUUCAGAACCAUUUGUCUUCGUAAACCACUCUCAAAUUGUUGCAUUCAGUUUAAUUUGAUAAUGUGUCUUUUGGAUAUGGUACCAUGACAAUACUAUUAUAUUUCGACAUUCUUUGAAGUGCCUUGGGGAACCAUGUAAAUACUGUGGACCAUGAAUAAUCCUUCAAUAACAUGGUUUAUAUCAGAAAACCACGUGUGUAUGUAUGUAUUUGUUUGUUUGUGAAUUUGAAUUGAUUUUUUUUAUUAUAUUUAAAUAAUUUUAUGUUAAUAAUGCUUUUUAUUUGUUUGUUUUUAUUUAAAUAAUUAAAAUCUUUGUAAGAGG